Long non-coding RNA from Lagenorhynchus albirostris (white-beaked dolphin), 518 nucleotides. RefSeq lists it as uncharacterized. NCBI's taxonomy places the organism in Eukaryota, Metazoa, Chordata, Mammalia, Artiodactyla, Delphinidae. The record is from RefSeq and is a predicted model, not a curated record. The transcript is spliced from 4 exons.
CUGGGAGCCUGGAGGCUUGAGCUCUGGAGCUGUGUUUAGGCAGCCGUUUAAUUUCGUGCAUUAACUCACUGAACUGAGGUAUUUGAAAACCUCCUCUCUCCCUAAGACUUUCUUAUUGCCUCCAAGAGGCUCCAUCCUUCAAUAGCACUUAUCCACCCAACAACUGGGCUGGGGGAGCAGUAGUGUCUCUAUGGCAUAAACGAAGAAACUGUGACUCAGAGAGGCUGAGUAAACUGCUUGAUGCUGUACAACUACAUACAGUGAUGAAUGUGAGAUUCAGACUUGGAUUUGUCUGGCUCCAAAAUCUCUGUUCCUUCCAUGACAAUAAAACAAAGGAGAAGAAGAGCGAGAGGUGGUACGUCUAGAUGGCCAGGUGAAAACCGAGCACUGCUGAGAAGCCCCGAGGAAAAGUGCAGCCUCCACACGAAGUUUUAUUAUUGGCUUCUGGGGAAAUGGUGGAAGAAAAAUGACUCCAUGUGGCAGCUCAGAGAUGCUCCCAAGAGAAACAAAAAUGGUAA